CCUACGGGAGGCAGCAGUGGGGAAUAUUGCACAAUGGGCGAAAGCCUGAUGCAGCGACGCCGCGUGAGCGAUGAAGGACUUCGGGUCGUAAAGCUCUGUCCUCAGGGAAGAUAAUGACGGUACUUGAUGAGGAAGCCCCGGCUAACUACGUGCCAGCAGCCGCGGUAAUACGUAGGGGGCUAGCGUUAUCCGGAUUUACUGGGGGUAAAGGGAGCGUAGCUGGAUCCCUAAGUCAGGGGUGAAAGGCUGCGGCUAACCCGUAGUAAGCCUUUGAAACUGGGACAAUUGAGUGCAGGAGAGGUGAGUGGAAUUCCUAGUGUAGCGGUGAAAUGCGUAGAUAUUAGGAGGAACACCAGUUGCGAAGGCGGCUCACUGGACUGUAACUGACACUGAGGCACGAAAGCGUGGGGAGCAAACAGGAUUAGAUACCCGAGUAGUC
This 439-nucleotide ribosomal RNA is filed under the name uncultured bacterium. RNAcentral's name for it is "partial 16S ribosomal RNA". It matches the Rfam family "Bacterial small subunit ribosomal RNA", at positions 338 to 795 of the family's 1533-position model. The record is from RNAcentral.